GCCUCUGUAGCUCAGUUGGUUAGAGCGCUGCACCGGAAUCGCUGGGCUGCAGGUUCGAUUCCUGCCAGGGGGC
Molecule: transfer RNA, 73 nt
Filed under: Paramuricea clavata
Lineage: Eukaryota; Metazoa; Cnidaria; Anthozoa; Malacalcyonacea; Plexauridae
Rfam family: tRNA
About the family: Transfer RNA (tRNA) molecules are approximately 80 nucleotides in length. Their secondary structure includes four short double-helical elements and three loops (D, anti-codon, and T loops). Further hydrogen bonds mediate the characteristic L-shaped molecular structure. tRNAs have two regions of fundamental functional importance: the anti-codon, which is responsible for specific mRNA codon recognition, and the 3' end, to which the tRNAs corresponding amino acid is attached (by aminoacyl-tRNA synthetases). tRNAs cope with the degeneracy of the genetic code in two manners: having more than one tRNA (with a specific anti-codon) for a particular amino acid; and 'wobble' base-pairing, i.e. permitting non-standard base-pairing at the 3rd anti-codon position.
Source: Rfam by way of RNAcentral